RNAcentral lists this transfer RNA (86 nucleotides) under Debaryomyces hansenii. The record is from RNAcentral. Lineage: Eukaryota; Fungi; Ascomycota; Pichiomycetes; Serinales; Debaryomycetaceae.
AGUUACAAGGAGGGUUUCUAAGUAUUUGUUAUUGAUUAUAAUAACUGGAAGAUCAACGUCUUAGUGGGAAAAAGAUUUCAAGAGAU